This 232-nucleotide ribosomal RNA is filed under the name uncultured bacterium. Its description in RNAcentral is "partial 16S ribosomal RNA". It matches the Rfam family "Bacterial small subunit ribosomal RNA", at positions 100 to 334 of the family's 1533-position model. The record is from RNAcentral.
CGGGACGGGUGAGUAAUGUCUGGGAAACUGCCUGAUGGAGGGGGAUAACUACUGGAAACGGUAGCUAUACCGCAUAACGUCGCAAGACCAAAGAGGGGGACCUUCGGGCCUCUUGCCAUCGGAUGUGCCCAGAUGGGAUUAGCUAGUAGGUGGGGUAAAGGCUCACCUAGGCGACGAUCCCUAGCUGGUCUGAGAGGAUGACCAGCCACACUGGAACUGAGACACGGUCCAG